AAUUGCUAGUUUAUUCAGUUCGUUCGGGAAGUCGGAGUGGAGCAGGUCGGAAUAAAAUUAAAAAUCUAAAAUAUCCAAAAACGUAUUUUUUGAAAAAAAAAAAAAUGAAUUCUAUUCUUGUUAAAUUCUUUUAAAGUGUAAAAAAAUGAAUCAAAUAGUUUAUCCAAAGUGCUGACUUGGCUCCGCAGAAUCCUGCUUUGUUGGUACUCAAUCGGCAUAAAAAUCCUCGCUGGUCGAGUCUGUCUUCGCUGCUAGAUCCUCCUGUGAUGGCGUUGUCUACACUGUGGUUUCCUUCACAGGAGAUGCCCUUUUCGGACAACCUCUCUGCUGGAAACUGACACCAAAGAUCGAUCCGACCUCCAUGGAGAAUGGCUCACUUUCUUGGGGACUUCCUUACAGCUAGGAAGCUUCGCCGAUUGUUUCUGUUGGUGUGUGGUGCGCCUUCGCUUGAAGAGCGGUGACGUCAGUGUUGACGAAUGUUAGGCCCAGCCAACGGCAUGAUGGGUAUCUCUUUGCGAAUGUCUCGCAGAAGUUUGGCCUUUGUGUCGUAGAUCCCAUACACUGCAUCAAGCGUCUUGCCUCUCAUAAGGCACAAUAGCUUCUGUACCUCGUCCUCCGUCGAGGCCUCAGAUUCAGCUGCUUUCAGAUGCAGAUUCGACUGCUCGAUCCGUUAACUCUCCUCCUUGUAUUUUUGGGGCCAGGGCCUCUGCUCUCUCGGGCUCGUCUUCGGCGUCUUUCUUUUUGUCCGCUAUUGCAUCAACGUAUGUGGUGAUGAUAGAAUAUUUGCGUGUUGUCGACAUAAGUCGAAUUCAAAAGGAUUCCCCUUGCAGUCGAAGUUCGAGGAGUCGGAGGAAAAAGGAAAAGUAAAGUGGCCUGUAGCCUACCCCCUACACGUGCUGGGAUGGAAUUGAAAGUGGUUGCAGUCCGAGAAGUGCGCGCAGUCCGAUGAAAUUAAAUAUAGUUGUUCCUGCCGGCUCAUCAUCGUAGGACUGCUGUGGCUCUCUCCUUCUUGAAAAUUAAUUUUCAGCAUGGAAAACAUCAAACUUCGACUACAAUUAAACAUUCGAUCGACCCCACAUCCGGACAAAUAGAAGAAGGCGGAGAACGAGGCACUGCGGGCACAUUCACUGGUCGUCAAGUUCAAGAUGGAAGAGAAACCAGUCAAUCAGCCUGUGUGAAUACAGACGUUGGAUCCACAGACAAGAAUAUAGCUGAAACGUAGGCUCCGACGAAGGAAGGGGUGGCAAAACUAUUAUGCCAUAUGCGCGGCAAGACGAAUGUUUGAUGGGCUGGAUGGGGUCUACGAUCCAAAGACAAAACUUCUGCAGGACAUCCACAAAGCGAAAGCCAUCAUACCAUUGGCUAAGGCCUGCCCUCCGUCAGCGUUCCCGGCACCGCAUUGCAAGCGGACACGCACCACACACAAAUAGAAACAAUCGGCCAAGUCUCCACGCUCUAAGAAAGUUCUCAAGAAAGUCAGCUUAUUGUCCAUUGAGUUGGGAACGAUCUCUGGCUAGUUCUGCAGGGAACAUGGUCCAAAAAAGGGCAACUCCAGUGAAGGCAGCAACAGUAUAGACACCGCCAAACAACGGUGGAUCUAGUCGCGAAGGCACAUUCGUCCAGCAAGGACCUCUAUGCCCAUAAGGAACCACCCAAAAGGACGUCCGCUCGAGCCAAGUCACCUGCAAGGCCGCCUGUGGCAACGACUCCGAUAACCUAAGAACUCUUCUGAACCUAAGAGACAGUUAGAGUUACUUGUUAGUGUUACUUGUUUGAGAAUAUAUUAUUUAUGUUACCAAA
Molecule: long non-coding RNA, 1800 nt
Organism: Drosophila obscura
Lineage: Eukaryota; Metazoa; Arthropoda; Insecta; Diptera; Drosophilidae
Exons: 5
Source: RefSeq, a predicted model, not a curated record